ACCACCACGGGUUGAGAUGAGAGAAAAAAUGGUGGAGUGAUGACAGAGAAAAUGUUGAGAUGAGAGAGAAAAUAUCUGUGAUGACAAAGGGUUUCUGAUUUUUUUUUUCAAUUGGGACAACAGUAAAGAUGGAUGACAGAGAAAAUGUUGGAGGGAGAGAGAUGAAAGAUAAAGGGUUGAGAGGAAUGAGGGAGGUGAGUAAGGGUUUGGGGGUUCUUUUUUUUUAGUUUUGAGAUUGAAAAUUAUUUAAAUAUCCUUGACCUUAAAACUUAGAAUUCAUGAUAAAUGAGGGUAUUUUUGUCUACUAUAAUCCGGUACACAUUGUUAAAACGUACCAACUGAAAAACAGGCGUACGCGUGUUAACAAACCCAUAUAUAUAUAUAUAUAUA
Molecule: long non-coding RNA, 390 nt
Filed under: Vigna radiata
Lineage: Eukaryota; Viridiplantae; Streptophyta; Magnoliopsida; Fabales; Fabaceae
Description: long non-coding RNA (VRAD_LNC004258)
Source: RNAcentral